UACGUAGGUGGUGGGAUGUGUUGGAUGUGAAAUUCCGGAGCUUAACUCCGGCGCUGCGUCCAAAACUAUCUCACUAGAGUACUGUAGAGAAGAGCGGAAUUUCAGGUGUAGCGGUAAAAUGCGUAGAUAUCUGAAAGAACACCAACGGCGAAGGCAGCUCUUUGGGCAGUAACUGACACUGAGGUACGAAAGCGUGGGGAGCAAAAAGGAUUAGAUACCCUUGUAGUCCACGCUGUCAACUUUGUGCACUUGGUCUUGGGGGAUUCGACCCCUCAGGACCGAAGCUAACGCGUUAAGUGCACCGCCUGAGGACUACGGCCGCAAGGCUAAA
RNAcentral lists this ribosomal RNA (331 nucleotides) under uncultured bacterium. RNAcentral describes it as "bacterial SSU rRNA". It matches the Rfam family "Bacterial small subunit ribosomal RNA", at positions 568 to 898 of the family's 1533-position model. The record is from RNAcentral.